GUGGUUGUGGCUCAGAGGUAGAGCGCUUGCCUAGCAUGUGUGAGGCACUGGGUUCAAUCCUUAGCACCACA
This 71-nucleotide transfer RNA is filed under the name Urocitellus parryii (Arctic ground squirrel). Its description in RNAcentral is "Spermophilus parryii (Arctic ground squirrel) tRNA". It matches the Rfam family "tRNA". From Rfam's summary of the family: Transfer RNA (tRNA) molecules are approximately 80 nucleotides in length. Their secondary structure includes four short double-helical elements and three loops (D, anti-codon, and T loops). RNAcentral also lists the same sequence under 2 other names. Lineage: Eukaryota; Metazoa; Chordata; Mammalia; Rodentia; Sciuridae. The record is from Rfam by way of RNAcentral.